AGAAUCAACGCUGGCGGCGUGCCUAACACAUGCAAGUCGAACGCGAAAGCCCCGCAAGGGGUAAGUAGAGUGGCAAACGGGUGAGUAACACGUGGGUGACCUGCCUUCGAGUGGGGGAUAACGUUCCGAAAGGAACGCUAAUACCGCAUAAUAUCCUGCCUUUUAAGAGGUGGACAUCAAAGCUGGGGACCGCAAGGCCUGGCGCUUGAAGAGGGGCCCGCGCCUGAUUAGCUAGUUGGUGGGGUAAUGGCUCACCAAGGCAUCGAUCAGUA
RNAcentral lists this ribosomal RNA (272 nucleotides) under uncultured bacterium. Its description in RNAcentral is "partial small subunit ribosomal RNA". It matches the Rfam family "Bacterial small subunit ribosomal RNA", at positions 26 to 285 of the family's 1533-position model. The record is from RNAcentral.